This 484-nucleotide ribosomal RNA is filed under the name uncultured bacterium. Its description in RNAcentral is "partial 16S ribosomal RNA". It matches the Rfam family "Bacterial small subunit ribosomal RNA", at positions 30 to 507 of the family's 1533-position model. The record is from RNAcentral.
AUUGAACGCUGGCGGCAGGCCUAACACAUGCAAGUCGAGCGGAUGGACGGGGAUUGCUCCCGUAUUCAGCGGGCGACGGGCGGGUGAGUCAUAGGUAUCUGCCUGGCAGUUGGGGCUAAGGUCCGGAAAGGGGCCCGAAUACCGCAUCGGUCCAGAGGUAGAACGGGGGGGAUCAUCGGACCUCGCGCGAUUAGAUGAGCCUAGGCCGGAUUAGCUAGUUGGUUGGGUAACGGCGUACCAAGGCGACGAUCCGUAGCUGCUCUGAGAGGAUGAUCAGCCACACUGGAACUGAGACACGGUCCAGACUCCUACGGGAGGCAGCAGUGGGGAAUCUUGGGCAAUGGGCGAAAGCCUGACCCAGCAACGCCGCGUGAGUGAAGAAGGUCUUCGGAUUGUAAAACUCUGUUAUUAGGGAAGAACAGAAGUGUGAGAAACUCUGGACGUCUUGACGGUACCUAAUCAGAAAGCCCCGGCUAACUACGUG